CUCAGAAAGAGGACAAUCCUUUAGCACAAAGGAGACUGGAUCUCGAGUCUAGUUGAUGAAUUACCACCUUGUGAUCAGAGCGUAAUUAACAGCUUCCUUGGUCCCUUGGGUCCAGCCGAAGCGGUAGAGGAUCGUUCCCGGCUCGGUGUUCAUCGGGCUGGGAUGGUAACAAGGUUGUCUGACAGACU
Molecule: non-coding RNA, 188 nt
Organism: Corchorus olitorius
Lineage: Eukaryota; Viridiplantae; Streptophyta; Magnoliopsida; Malvales; Malvaceae
Source: Rfam